Molecule: non-coding RNA, 21 nt
Filed under: Caenorhabditis elegans
Lineage: Eukaryota; Metazoa; Nematoda; Chromadorea; Rhabditida; Rhabditidae
Source: RNAcentral
UAUCCAACCAAUCCAACGAGA